GUCUAAACGACUCUCGGCAACGGAUAUCUCGGCUCUCGCAUCGAUGAAGAACGUAGCGAAAUGCGAUACUUGGUGUGAAUUGCAGAAUCCCGUGAACCAUCGAGUCUUUGAACGCAAGUUGCGCCCGAAGCCUUCAGGCCGAGGGCACGUCUGCCUGGGCGUC
This 163-nucleotide ribosomal RNA is filed under the name Veronica reuterana. RNAcentral describes it as "5.8S ribosomal RNA". It matches the Rfam family "5.8S ribosomal RNA". From Rfam's summary of the family: 5.8S ribosomal RNA (5.8S rRNA) is a component of the large subunit of the eukaryotic ribosome. It is transcribed by RNA polymerase I as part of the 45S precursor that also contains 18S and 28S rRNA. Functionally, it is thought that 5.8S rRNA may be involved in ribosome translocation. Lineage: Eukaryota; Viridiplantae; Streptophyta; Magnoliopsida; Lamiales; Plantaginaceae. The record is from RNAcentral.